UGACACAAGCCCAAGGUUCUUGGGCCGGCUGGCCUUCUGCCGCUCGAGGGGAGCCUUACCAGAGAACUUGCAAGGUGCACUGCGGCUUUGCCAGUCCGGCGGCGAGCGCCUCCAGCCCGUCGUCACGCAAGUCGUUGUAGGCGAGAUCCAGCUCCCUCAGGCUGCCGGGCGAGCUUAGAACGGAGGCCAGCGCCUCGCAGCUUUUCUUGCUCAGCUGGCAGCCCCUGAGCCUGAGAAGACAAGAGGGUUUGGGCUGCUGACAUGUGCGCGGCCGGUUCAGCGUGCUGGCUCGACGGCACCUACACUGAUUUUUGAGAAGCCUUGACCACCGGCAGCAGCAUCAGGAGCCCCUUCUCGGACGGAGCGUAUUUCUGGAGUUCGAAGCAGCUCAUGGCUUCGUCGGAAGCCCGCAAGAAGAAGACCAGGGCCGACCACAUGGCCGGAGGUAGGUCCUCCGGGUUGGACCGGAG
Molecule: long non-coding RNA, 470 nt
Organism: Syngnathus acus (greater pipefish)
Lineage: Eukaryota; Metazoa; Chordata; Actinopteri; Syngnathiformes; Syngnathidae
Exons: 3
Source: RefSeq, a predicted model, not a curated record